This 424-nucleotide ribosomal RNA is filed under the name uncultured Bacteroides sp. RNAcentral describes it as "bacterial SSU rRNA". It matches the Rfam family "Bacterial small subunit ribosomal RNA", at positions 338 to 777 of the family's 1533-position model. Lineage: Bacteria; Pseudomonadati; Bacteroidota; Bacteroidia; Bacteroidales; Bacteroidaceae. The record is from RNAcentral.
CCUACGGGAGGCAGCAGUGGGGAAUAUUGGGCAAUGGACGCAAGUCUGACCCAGCAACGCCGCGUGAAGGAAGAAGGCUUUCGGGUUGUAAACUUCUUUUGUCAGGGAAGAGCAGAAGACGGUACCUGACGAAUAAGCCACGGCUAACUACGUGCCAGCAGCCGCGGUAAUACGUAGGUGGCAAGCGUUGUCCGGAUUUACUGGGUGUAAAGGGCGUGUAGCCGGGGAGACAAGUCAGAUGUGAAAUCUGGAGGCUCAACCUCCAAACUGCAUUUGAAACUGUUUCUCUUGAGUAUCGGAGAGGUAAUCGGAAUUCCUAGUGUAGCGGUGAAAUGCGUAGAUAUUAGGAAGAACACCAGUGGCGAAGGCGGAUUACUGGACGACAACUGACGGUGAGGCGCGAAAGCGUGGGGAGCAAACAGGA